RNAcentral lists this ribosomal RNA (585 nucleotides) under uncultured bacterium. RNAcentral's name for it is "partial 16S ribosomal RNA". It matches the Rfam family "Bacterial small subunit ribosomal RNA", at positions 356 to 1375 of the family's 1533-position model. The record is from RNAcentral.
UGGGAAUUUUGGACAAUGGGCGAAGCCUGAUCCAGCCAUGCCGCGUGCAGGAUGAAGGCCUUCGGGUUGUAAACUGCUUUUGUACGGAACGAAAAGACUCUGGUUAAUACCUGGGGUCCAUGACGGUACCGUAAGAAUAAGCACCGGCUAACUACGUGCCAGCAGCCGCGGUAAUACGUAGGGUGCAAGCGUUAAUCGGAAUUACUGGGCGUAAAGCGUGCGCAGGCGGUUAUAUAAGACAGAUGUGAAAUCCCCGGGCUCAACCUGGGAACUGCAUUUGUGACUGUAUAGCUAGAGUACGGCAGAGGGGGAUGGAAUUCCGCGUGUAGCAGUGAAAUGCGUAGAUAUGCGGAGGAACACCGAUGGCGAAGGCAAUCCCCUGGGCCUGUACUGACGCUCAUGCACGAAAGCGUGGGGAGCAAAACAGGAUUAGAUACCCUGGUAGUCCACGCCCUAAAACGAUGUCAACUGGUUGUUGGGUCUUCACUGACUCAGUAACGAAGCUAACGCGUGAAGUUGACCGCCUGGGGAGUACGGCCGCAAGGUUGAAACUUAAAUGAAUUGACGGGGUCAUAGCUGUUUCCU